CCGCCGGCGACCGGCGCACGGGUGAGUAACACGUAUGCAACCUGGCCGUGACAGAUGGAUAACCGGGAGAAAUCCCGCCUAAUACAACAUAAUGCCGGGAGGGGACAUCCCCUGCCGGCCAAAGGGGGCGACCCCGGUCACGGAUGGGCAUGCGGCGCAUUAGGUAGUUGGUGGGGCAACGGCCCACCAAGCCGGCGAUGCGUAGGGGUUCUGAGAGGAAGGUCCCCCACAUUGGAACUGAGACACGGUCCAAACUCCUACGGAAGGCAGCAG
RNAcentral lists this ribosomal RNA (273 nucleotides) under uncultured bacterium. RNAcentral describes it as "partial 16S ribosomal RNA". It matches the Rfam family "Bacterial small subunit ribosomal RNA", at positions 85 to 354 of the family's 1533-position model. The record is from RNAcentral.